RNAcentral lists this small RNA (531 nucleotides) under Pan troglodytes (chimpanzee). RNAcentral describes it as "processed transcript". Lineage: Eukaryota; Metazoa; Chordata; Mammalia; Primates; Hominidae. The record is from RNAcentral.
CAUAGAAGAGUGGAGAAAUCGAGUUGGCCAGAUGAGGGAGAGGCCAUUAAGAGGAAUCAAAGAUCAACUCCCACUGAGGACAAAUGGACCUGUAAUUCCGGGUGUGACGAGAGAAUGAGAUUUACCUUCCUGAAUUAAAAAACAGGUCAUUAAGCUUGGGCCCUGACUCUUCUUCGUGAGAAGACUCCCUGCGACAAGGACUGUGUACUGCAUGAAUGAGGCCGAGAUAGUCGAUGUUGCUCUGGGAAUCCUGAUUGAGAGCCGCAAACAGGAAAAGGCCUGCGAGCAGCCGGCCCUGGCGGGGGCUGAUAACCCAGAGCACUCCCCUCCCUGCUCCAUGUCGCCUCACACAAGUUCUGGGAGCAGCAGUGAGGAAGAGGACAGUGGGAAACAGGCACUGGCUCCAGGCCUCAGCCCUUCCCAGAGGCCGGGGGGUUCCAGCUCUGCCUGUAGCAGGAGCCCUGAGGAGGAGGAGGAAGAGGAUGUGCUGAAAUACGUCCGGGAGAUCUUUUUCAGCUAGGGCAUAAACUG